RNAcentral lists this ribosomal RNA (253 nucleotides) under uncultured bacterium. RNAcentral describes it as "partial 16S ribosomal RNA". It matches the Rfam family "Bacterial small subunit ribosomal RNA", at positions 524 to 776 of the family's 1533-position model. The record is from RNAcentral.
UACGUAGGGUGCGAGCGUUAAUCGGAAUUACUGGGCGUAAAGCGUGCGCAGGCGGUUUUUUAAGUCGGAUGUGAAAUCCCCGAGCUCAACCUGGGAACUGCGUUUGAAACUACAAGACUAGAGUAGGUCAGAGGGGGGUAGAAUUCCACGUGUAGCAGUGGAAUGCGUAGAGAUGUGGAGGAAUACCAAUGGCGAAGGCAGCCCCCUGGGAUCAUACUGACGCUGAUGCGCGAAAGCGUGGGGAGCAAACAGG